Molecule: long non-coding RNA, 301 nt
Organism: Hyaena hyaena (striped hyena)
Lineage: Eukaryota; Metazoa; Chordata; Mammalia; Carnivora; Hyaenidae
Exons: 3
Source: RefSeq, a predicted model, not a curated record
AUUCAUAUUUGACUGGAGAACCUGGACACGACUCUGGGAGGCAUCUUUAGAAUCCUACCUUCCACAGCCCUCUGGAAAGUGGAGCGUGGGCCCAGAAGAAGGUCCUGGGAUUUCGUAGUUUUCUUUUAUGCCAUCCCUUGCUUGAGGCCGGGGGCCUGCCUGUUUCACUUCUGUGGGGACCUACAGGCCACAAGAAGGCAGUGAGUACUGUGUGCCUGAACACCAGAGCAAAUGAGUAUCAACUUAUCCACCAACCUAAUGGAUAAUAAUGCAGGAAGAAGCAUUUCUGGGAAUGAAACCA